RNAcentral lists this ribosomal RNA (421 nucleotides) under uncultured bacterium. RNAcentral describes it as "bacterial SSU rRNA". It matches the Rfam family "Bacterial small subunit ribosomal RNA", at positions 1061 to 1481 of the family's 1533-position model. The record is from RNAcentral.
CGUGUCGUGAGAUGUUGGGUUAAGUCCUGUAACGAGCGCAACCCUUGUCCUUAGUUACCAGCACGUAAUGGUGGGCACUCUAAGGAGACUGCCGGUGACAAACCGGAGGAAGGUGGGGAUGACGUCAAGUCAUCAUGGCCCUUACGGCCUGGGCUACACACGUGCUACAAUGGUCGGUACAGAGGGUUGCCAAGCCGCGAGGUGGAGCUAAUCUCACAAAACCGAUCGUAGUCCGGAUCGCAGUCUGCAACUCGACUGCGUGAAGUCGGAAUCGCUAGUAAUCGCGAAUCAGAAUGUCGCGGUGAAUACGUUCCCGGGCCUUGUACACACCGCCCGUCACACCAUGGGAGUGGGUUGCACCAGAAGUAGCUAGUCUAACCUUCGGGAGGACGGUUACCACGGUGUGAUUCAUGACUGGGGU